GUCCCCGUAGCCCAAUAGGAUAGAGCGUUGGCCUCCGGAGCCAAAGGUUGCAGGUUCGAAUCCUGCCGGGGACG
RNAcentral lists this transfer RNA (74 nucleotides) under Phycisphaerae bacterium. Its description in RNAcentral is "tRNA-Arg". It matches the Rfam family "tRNA". Rfam says of the family: Transfer RNA (tRNA) molecules are approximately 80 nucleotides in length. The record is from RNAcentral. RNAcentral also lists the same sequence under 1 other name. Lineage: Bacteria; Pseudomonadati; Planctomycetota; Phycisphaerae.